This is a long non-coding RNA of Nannospalax galili (Upper Galilee mountains blind mole rat), 646 nucleotides long. RefSeq lists it as uncharacterized. The record is from RefSeq and is a predicted model, not a curated record. The transcript is spliced from 3 exons. Lineage: Eukaryota; Metazoa; Chordata; Mammalia; Rodentia; Spalacidae.
UUCCUUCAAAGUUCCAAAGUGGAUGAAGACUACUGGCUUUCCAGGAAUCCUCCAGGUCUUCAGCACCAGCUCAGUCUGCUGAGGCCAGCCUUGGGGACAGAGCAUCUACCAAGUUCUUCAGCCUCUCCAGUGUGAGACAGCACUGCUGGACCACCCAGACCGUAUUGUGGAUCUGUGGAUGGCCUUCUGGGCAUGGCAGCUGAAGACUGAUGAGGCCCUGACUCCUUGGCCCCCACCUCCUCGAUGACCAUCACCAUGGAGGAGCCCAGGGUAACAGCAACAGUGGCAGGACUGUAUCCUGGAAAUUACUCAGUCCCCGGAAAAGCAUGGGCAACAGACAAGCAUGGGGCACCCUGGAAAAGAGGGGUGGAGCCAGCCAACCUGCUGCGGAGAGUUAGCCAAGCCACUGUGAGAUAGGGUGCGGCCUUUUUGGGAACUCCUGGGAGUGAGCUGUAUGGCCUGAGAAUGACGAGAAUGGUGAGAAUGGCCAGCGGACACCCUGCCUGUCCUGCAGGCUCUGCAAGGUGAGAUGAAGCAGACUGUGGAGAUGGCACAUGGGCACGUGGUGUGAAAGCGAUUGGGAAUGAUGGGGUGUGGGGGUUAUGAGGAGCUGUUUCUUUGUAAGUCAUCCCCUCCCAAAGUUAUA